Molecule: RNA transcript, 3485 nt
Organism: Populus trichocarpa (black cottonwood)
Lineage: Eukaryota; Viridiplantae; Streptophyta; Magnoliopsida; Malpighiales; Salicaceae
Gene name: ATP-dependent zinc metalloprotease FTSH 7, chloroplastic
Exons: 15
Source: RefSeq, a predicted model, not a curated record
UUAAUAUCUCCCUUUCGCUGCAAUAUCUUCCUAACCAAAAAAAAUCUCUUUCGUAGCAGGAAACACGAAUAACUAAAUUUCAUUCAUACCCAAUCGAUUCUUUAUAUCUGCUAUGUUAAUUAGGGUUUCAAAACAAAUCAAUUUCAAAGAUGCUAGAAACUCUAAGACCAAUAACAUACAUUUCUGCUACUUCUUCUACAGUUAAAUUUCAAUACUGUAGACUCCAAUCUAGGGUUUUCCACCACCGUUUUAUCCCUAUUAAUAGUUCCCUUACUUUGCCUUCAAUUAACCCUAAAUCCUUCAAUUUUUUAUCGAAUACCAAAAUCAGAGACUAUAAAAUCUUAGCCAGAUGUCAAGAUAGCGAUUCUACCGAGAAAACAAGCACCGAAACCGAGCCACAAAACAACCCACCACCAUCACCGCCAUCGUCGAAUUCAGGGUCAAAGCAGAAGAGAGAGAAGCAAGGGAAAAGCCAAUGGUGGUUUUCCAAGAAGCAGAAUUGGAAAUGGCAACCUUUAAUUCAAGCGCAAGAAAUUGGUGUCUUGCUUUUGCAAUUAGGGAUUGUUAUGUUCGUUAUGCGGUUGCUUCGACCCGGGAUUCCUUUGCCCGGGUCGGAGCCAAGGCAACCCACUACUUUUGUCAGCGUGCCGUAUAGUGAGUUUUUGGGUAAAAUUAGUAGUAAUCAUGUGCAAAAAGUGGAGGUUGAUGGUGUGCAUAUAAUGUUUAAGUUGAAAGAUGAAGGAGUUAGUGGUCAAGAGAGUAGCAGUGAAGUGGUUGAUAGCAAGUUUCAAGACUCGGAAUCUUUGUUAAGGAGUGUGACGCCUACUAUGAAAAAGAUUUUGUAUACUACGACGAGGCCUACUGAUAUUAAGACUCCGUAUGAGAAAAUGCUGGAGAAUCAGGUGGAGUUUGGUUCGCCUGAUAAGAGGUCCGGUGGAUUCUUGAAUUCAGCAUUGAUAGCUUUGUUCUACGUAGCUGUGCUUGCAGGGCUUCUUCAACGUUUCCCUGUUACCUUUUCUCAGCAUACAGCUGGUCAGGUUAGGAACCGUAAGUCUGGGGGUUCUGGAGGUUCAAAAGUGUCUGAGCAAGGUGAAACAAUAACUUUUGCUGAUGUUGCUGGGGUUGAUGAAGCUAAAGAAGAGCUAGAAGAAAUUGUGGAAUUUCUCAGGAAUCCAGACAGGUAUACAAGACUUGGUGCUCGUCCUCCUCGAGGUGUUCUCCUGGUGGGCCUUCCUGGGACAGGUAAGACUCUUCUAGCAAAGGCUGUUGCUGGAGAAGCUGAAGUUCCCUUUAUAAGUUGUUCUGCAAGUGAAUUUGUUGAGUUGUAUGUUGGCAUGGGUGCCUCCCGUGUGAGAGAUCUCUUUGCCCGGGCAAAGAAGGAGGCACCAUCAAUAAUAUUUAUUGAUGAGAUAGAUGCUGUGGCUAAAAGUCGUGAUGGAAAAUACCGCAUUGUUAGCAAUGAUGAAAGGGAGCAGACUUUGAAUCAGUUGCUCACUGAGAUGGAUGGGUUUGAUAGCAACUCUGCUGUUAUUGUUCUUGGUGCAACAAAUCGCUCAGAUGUGUUAGACCCUGCACUUCGCCGACCAGGAAGAUUUGAUCGUGUGGUUAUGGUGGAAACACCUGAUAGGAAUGGAAGAGAAGCCAUUUUAAAAGUACAUGUUUCCAAGAAAGAACUGCCUCUGGGAGAGGAUGUUAACCUCAGUGACAUUGCCUCUAUGACUACUGGUUUAACUGGGGCAGAUCUUGCAAAUCUGGUAAACGAAGCUGCUUUGUUGGCUGGAAGGAAAAACAAAGUACUAGUGGAGAAAUUUGAUUUCAUUCAGGCAGUGGAGCGGUCAAUAGCUGGCAUUGAGAAGAAGACUGUCAAGUUGCAAGGAAGCGAGAAGGCUGUGGUUGCACGUCAUGAAGCUGGCCAUGCAGUAGUAGGUACUGCUGUUGCUAAUAUUCUUACUGGACAGCCACGUGUAGAGAAGUUGAGCAUAUUACCAAGGUCAGGAGGGGCUUUGGGCUUUACUUAUACACCCCCAACAAAUGAGGAUAGAUAUUUGCUCUUCAUUGAUGAGUUGCGUGGCCGCUUGGUUACUCUUCUUGGAGGACGGGCAGCAGAAGAAGUUGUUUAUUCAGGUCGUGUCUCGACAGGUGCCCUGGAUGAUAUUCGGCGGGCUACUGAUAUGGCAUACAAAGCAGUAGCUGAAUAUGGUCUUAAUCAGACAAUAGGUCCCGUGUCUCUAGCAACACUUUCUGGAGGAGGGAUGGAUGAAUCUGGAGCUGCUCCAUGGGGAAGGGAUCAGGGGCAUCUUGUUGAUCUUGUUCAAAGAGAGGUGAAAGCAUUGCUGCAAUCUGCCCUUGAUGUAGCACUUUCUGUUGUGCGUGCUAAUCCAACUGUCUUGGAGGGGCUUGGUGCCCAUCUGGAAGAGAAAGAGAAAGUAGAAGGUGAGGAGCUGCAAGAGUGGUUGAAGUUGGUAGUUGCUCCAAAAGAGCUAGCUCUCUUUGUCGAAGGCAAGCAAGAGUCAUUUCUCCCGCUAUAAGCAGGCGCCUAAUGAACAGUGAUUGUGCUCUCAGCUUUUCACCAUCAUGCAAACAAUGGAGCUAGCCUGUAGUGCCUCAAGCCAUUAUAAUAUGAACUUAAUGGCAUAAACUCUGAACUCCUACAGCAUUAUGUUUCAAUGAGGUAAAUUUUUGAUGUCAUUUUAACAUUACUGGCCCAAAUGCAGAAGAAAUGGGGGAAAAGCUGAUCUGCCGCUUGCUGCUGCCGGAGCUUAGCCAAGUCUCUCACCAUCUUGACAUUGCCCCCCUUUACACUACUGGAGAGGAACUCGAUCAGCCUGCCAAAAGCAAGUGUUUGUCUGGGGACCGAUAAUGGGGAACAGACAUUAAAUGGAUAAACAUUGGACGAAUAACUAAAAUGAAGAACUAGAAGUUAAAUUUUAGUCUGAGUUAUUUGUCCGCCAACCACGGUUAUUUGGUCGGGUCAUCAGGCUAUAGGGAAGGGAAGGGAAGAAGACAAGUGCUGGGUUCCUAAACACUUUUGCAUUUGUUUUUUAUUAUUAUUAUUAUUAACAUGAAUAUUCGAGGAAUAUAUACAUAAGAGUCUUGAGGACCACACGUCUCUGUACGUCUCAUGUGCAGGACAUGAAUAUAAUAGCCAGUGCCAUAGAUUUGGCUUAGGUUGUAUGCUUCCAAACGUCAAGAGCUGACCAAGAGUAGUAGCAAUUUCUUGUGAUAAUUUUACGGGACAGGAUCAGUACCACGUACAAUUAAUUGGUUAUUGGCUAAAAUCCAAUACUUAGUUUCGUGUCCUGGUUGUAACUUGACAGAGGUUUUGGAAUUUGAAGCAGCUCGCUUGGAAGUUUCAAAACAGAAGCUUUUCUGCUUCGAUACCUUGCCUCUUGAAAUUAUGGCAAGGAAUGAUGGCCUUUAUUGCUAAAAAACAAAGAAGAGAGAAAUCAUUCAUUUUUUUCUUCUUCUCUCCUUCAUUGUCGAAA